RNAcentral lists this ribosomal RNA (679 nucleotides) under uncultured marine group I thaumarchaeote. RNAcentral's name for it is "bacterial SSU rRNA". It matches the Rfam family "Archaeal small subunit ribosomal RNA", at positions 1 to 687 of the family's 1478-position model. Lineage: Archaea; Thermoproteati; Nitrososphaerota. The record is from RNAcentral.
UUCUGGUUGAUCCUGCCGGACCUGACUGCUAUCGGAUUGAUACUAAGCCAUGCGAGUCUUUGUAGUAAUACAAGGCAUACGGCUCAGUAACGCGUAGUCAACCUACCCUAUGGACAAGAAUAAUCUCGGGAAACUGAGCAUAAUUCUUGAUAGAUCAUAAUGCCUGGAAUGGUUUAUGGUUAAAAUGAUUCGUCGCCAUAGGAUGGGACUGCGGCCUAUCAGCUUGUUGGUGAGGUAAUGGCCCACCAAGGCGAUUACAGGUACGGGCUCUGAGAGGAGAAGCCCGGAGAUGGGUACUGAGACAAGGACCCAGGCCCUAUGGGGCGCAGCAGGCGAGAAAACUUUGCAAUGUGCGAAAGCACGACAAGGUUAGUCCGAGUGAUUUCUGCUAAAGAGAUCUUUUGCUAGUUAUAAAACCACUAGUGAAUAAGGGGUGGGCAAGUUCUGGUGUCAGCCGCCGCGGUAAAACCAGCACCUCAAGUGGUCAGGAUGAUUAUUGGGCCUAAAGCAUCCGUAGCCGGCUCUGUAGGUUUUCGGUUAAAUCUAUGCGCUCAACGUAUGGGCUGCCGAAAAUACUGUAGAGAUAGGGAGUGGGAGAGGUAGACGGUACUCGGUAGGAAGGGGUAAAAUCCUUUGAUCUAUCGAUGACCACCUGUGGCGAAGGCGGUCUACCAGAACA